UGGCUCAGGAUGAACGCUAGCGGACGUUAAAAACAUGCAAGUCGAGGGGCAGCACGGGUAGCAAUCCCUGGUGGCGACCGGCGCACGGGUGCGUAACACGUAUACAAUCUGCCCAUAUCAGGGAGAUAGCCCGGAGAAAUCCGGAUUAAUAUCCCAUAACAGCGGGAUCGGCAUCGAUCCUUCUUAAAAGCUCCGGCGGAUAUGGAUGAGUAUGCGACUGAUUAGUUAGUUGGUGAGGUAACGGCUCACCAAGACCACGAUCAGUAGGGGUUCUGAGAGGAUUAACCCCCACACUGGUACUGAGACACGGACCAGACUCCUACGGGAGGCAGCAGUAAGGAAUAUUGGACAAUGCCCGCAAGGGUGAUCCAGCCAUGCCGCGUGCAGGAAGACGGACCUAUGGUUUGUAAACUGCUUUUGAACAAGAGAAAACCCCCCUACGUGUAGGGGGCUGAUAGUAUUGUUAGAAUAAGCAUCGGCUAACUUCGUGCCAGCAGCCGCGGUAAGACGAAGGAUGCAAGCGUUAUCCGGAUUCAUUGGGUUUAAAGGGUGCGUAGGCGGCCCGGUAAGUCAGUGGUGAAAUCUCUGAGCUCAACUGGGAGGGGUUGUCCGAUACUGCUGAGCUUGAGRGCAGUAGAGGGGGGUGGAAUUCCGGGUGUAGUGGUGAAAUGCGUAGAUAUCCGGAGGAACACCAGUGGCGAAGGCAGCCCCCUGGGAUAACACUGACGCUCAUGCACGAAAGCGUGGGGAGCAAACAGGAUUAGAUACCCUGGUAGUCCACGCCCUAAACGAUGUCAACUAGUUGUCGGGUCUUAWUUGACUUGGUAACGCAGCUAACGCGUGAAGUUGACCGCCCUGGGGAGUACGGUCGCAAGAUUAAAACUCAAAGGAAUUGACGGGGACCCGCACMAGCGGUGGAUGAUGUGGAUUAWUUCGAUGCAACGCGAAAAACCUUACCUACCCUUGACAUGUCUGGAACCCUGCUGAGAGGUGGGGGUGCUCGAAAGAGAACCAGAACACAGGUGCUGCAUGGCUGUCGUCAGCUCGUGUCGUGAGAUGUUGGGUUAAGUCCCGCAGCGAGCGCAACCCUUGUCAUUAGUUGCUACGAAAGGGCACUUUAAUGAGACUGCCGGUGACAAACCGGAGGAAGGUGGGGAUGACGUCAAGUCCUCAUGGCCCUUAUGGGUAGGGCUUCACACGUCAUACAAUGGUACAUACAGAGGGCUGCCAACCCGCGAGGGGGAGCUAAUCCCAGAAAGUGUAUCGUAGUCCGGAUUGUAGUCUGCAACUCGACUACAUGAAGUUGGAAUCGCUAGUAAUCGCGGAUCAGCAUGUCGCGGUGAAUACGUUCCCGGGUCUUGUACACACCGCCCGUCACACCAUGGGAGCGGGUUUUACCAGAAGUGGGUAGCCUAACCGCAAGGAGGGCGCUUACGCACGGUAGGAUUCGUGACUGGGGUG
Molecule: ribosomal RNA, 1461 nt
Filed under: uncultured bacterium
Lineage: Bacteria
Description: partial 16S ribosomal RNA
Rfam family: Bacterial small subunit ribosomal RNA
Source: RNAcentral